UCCGUUGUUGUCUAGUGGUUAGGAUUUAUGGCUCUCACCCAUAAGGCCGGGGUUCGAUUCCCCGCAACAAAU
Transfer RNA from Caenorhabditis elegans, 72 nucleotides. Lineage: Eukaryota; Metazoa; Nematoda; Chromadorea; Rhabditida; Rhabditidae. The record is from Ensembl.